This is a long non-coding RNA of Neogale vison (American mink), 538 nucleotides long. RefSeq lists it as uncharacterized. NCBI's taxonomy places the organism in Eukaryota, Metazoa, Chordata, Mammalia, Carnivora, Mustelidae. The transcript has 3 exons. The record is from RefSeq and is a predicted model, not a curated record.
CUUUCGGAAACGCCACAGCUGCCGCCACCCCGAGGGUGGUGCAGCCAUAAACAGCAGACGAGACCCUCCACCAGCAAAAAGAUUAUGGCUCCCGAAAGCUCAGAGGAUGGUAAGCAUUUUUCAGAAACAGAGUAUUUUCUGAUUGCAGUAUGAACAUUGUUUUUAGACACACCGGCUGCACGCUCCAUAGGCCGCAGUACCCUGUGAACGUCACUCUCACGUGCGCCGGGAAACCAGAGUGCUCUUCCACUCACUUCGCUGCAGUACUCGCUGGACUGCUGUGAUCUGGAACCAGACCCACAGUAUCUCCAAGUGCUGUGAUGGCUACUGCGUGUGAGAGCAGAAAUGAAGAAAAGCGGUUGCCAUGGGAGCACAAGCAGCAGAGACAAGCCGCGGGGCCUGGGCUCACACGCAGAUCAAUGACAGUCUUCUCUUCCGUGUCUGCAGGAAGAUCUCUCAGCGAAUGAAGCAAGCGCUUCGCAAGACAGUCGCGUCUUAAAGUUCAAAAGUGGACAUCCCUCGGCCUUGGAGCACGGCG